RNAcentral lists this transfer RNA (73 nucleotides) under Trichonephila clavata. It matches the Rfam family "tRNA". From Rfam's summary of the family: Transfer RNA (tRNA) molecules are approximately 80 nucleotides in length. Their secondary structure includes four short double-helical elements and three loops (D, anti-codon, and T loops). The record is from Rfam by way of RNAcentral. Lineage: Eukaryota; Metazoa; Arthropoda; Arachnida; Araneae; Nephilidae.
GCUCCUGUAGCGCAAUGGAUAGCGCGUUGGACUUUUAAUCCAACGGUCGUGGGUUAUAAUCCUACCUGGGAUG